This 330-nucleotide ribosomal RNA is filed under the name uncultured eukaryote. Its description in RNAcentral is "SSU rRNA". It matches the Rfam family "Eukaryotic small subunit ribosomal RNA", at positions 587 to 913 of the family's 1831-position model. The record is from RNAcentral.
AGCUCCAAUAGCGUAUACUAACGUUGUUGCAGUUAAAAAGCUCGUAGUUGGAUUUCUGAAGGUGGUUGGAUUGGUGUGACCUCGUGUUGCCUCAACCAUACUAUUUUCAACAUAUGCGAUGAAUUGGUGUGGUUAAUUAAGUUUGAUCCGCCAUUAAAUCGCUCGUUUACUUUGAGAAAAUUAGAGUGUUCAAAGCAGGCAUAACGCCUUGAAUAUGUUAGCAUGGAAUAAUAGCAUAGGACUUUGGUUCUAUUUGUUGGUUGUUCGAGAACCGGAGUAAUGAUUGAUAGGGGACGGUUGGGGGGCAUCCGUAUUCUCAAGCGAGAGGUG